GCCCGGUUAGCUCAAUUGGUAGAGCAUCAGACUUUUAAUCUGAGGGCCAUGGGUUCGAGUCCCAUAUCGGGCU
RNAcentral lists this transfer RNA (73 nucleotides) under Dendronephthya gigantea. RNAcentral describes it as "tRNA-Lys". It matches the Rfam family "tRNA". From Rfam's summary of the family: Transfer RNA (tRNA) molecules are approximately 80 nucleotides in length. Their secondary structure includes four short double-helical elements and three loops (D, anti-codon, and T loops). Further hydrogen bonds mediate the characteristic L-shaped molecular structure. tRNAs have two regions of fundamental functional importance: the anti-codon, which is responsible for specific mRNA codon recognition, and the 3' end, to which the tRNAs corresponding amino acid is attached (by aminoacyl-tRNA synthetases). tRNAs cope with the degeneracy of the genetic code in two manners: having more than one tRNA (with a specific anti-codon) for a particular amino acid; and 'wobble' base-pairing, i.e. permitting non-standard base-pairing at the 3rd anti-codon position. Lineage: Eukaryota; Metazoa; Cnidaria; Anthozoa; Malacalcyonacea; Nephtheidae. The record is from RNAcentral.